This 492-nucleotide ribosomal RNA is filed under the name uncultured bacterium. RNAcentral's name for it is "partial 16S ribosomal RNA". It matches the Rfam family "Bacterial small subunit ribosomal RNA", at positions 29 to 507 of the family's 1533-position model. The record is from RNAcentral.
AGUGAACGCUGGCGGUAGGCCUAACACAUGCAAGUCGAACGGCAGCACAGUAAGAGCUUGCUCUUACGGGUGGCGAGUGGCGGACGGGUGAGGAAUACAUCGGAAUCUACUUUUUCGUGGGGGAUAACGUAGGGAAACUUACGCUAAUACCGCAUACGACCUACGGGUGAAAGCAGGGGAUCUUCUGACCUUGCGCGAUUGAAUGAGCCGAUGUCGGAUUAGCUAGUUGGCGGGGUAAAGGCCCACCAAGGCGACGAUCCGUAGCUGGUCUGAGAGGAUGAUCAGCCACACUGGAACUGAGACACGGUCCAGACUCCGACGGGAGGCAGCAGUGGGGAAUAUUGGACAAUGGGCGCAAGCCUGAUCCAGCCAUACCGCGUGGGUGAAGAAGGCCUUCGGGUUGUAAAGCCCUUUUGUUGGGAAAGAAAAGCAGCAGGUUAAUACCCCGCUGUUCUGACGGUACCCAAAGAAUAAGCACCGGCUAACUUCGUG